CAAGCCUUAACCUCUCUCUCUUCUCUUGUUUUUCAUCCAUGAGUGAGAUACUAGCCAAUAGUGAGGAGAAUUGGAGAAUUCUCCUCAAGAGCAGCAGCAAUGCUCAAAACCAAACCACAUGCCUAGGGCUAACCUUAACGUGCUCCCUUCACAACCCCGGUUCCCUUCAAUAGAUAACAACUUGUGGAGCAUGAUGGGUGGUUUGGAAGAUGGACCUGAAGAGCACAUUGAUGUUCUCCUAUAAUAGUUCUAGCAAUGGAAUAAGGCAAAACAAGUUGUUCCUUUCAGUCCUUUUGUUUGGGGUUGAUUAAUGUUUUUGUUUGGUUGGGUGUUUCUUCGGUGAGGUUUCUGAUCAUUUUGUCUUUCUUUUGCUUUGUUUUUGGGUCUAAAGUCUUUUGUAUGGCGGCCUUGAUCGGCUUUCAUCAUUUUUUCUUUGUUUAGCUUUGUUUCUGAGUCUUAAAGUCUUUUGUAAGAGACUAAUAUUUAUAAAUAAAAAGUCGUUCAUCGAGUCAA
Long non-coding RNA from Gossypium raimondii (Peruvian cotton), 513 nucleotides. RefSeq lists it as uncharacterized. The transcript is spliced from 2 exons. The record is from RefSeq and is a predicted model, not a curated record. NCBI's taxonomy places the organism in Eukaryota, Viridiplantae, Streptophyta, Magnoliopsida, Malvales, Malvaceae.